Molecule: ribosomal RNA, 253 nt
Filed under: uncultured Caldilinea sp.
Lineage: Bacteria; Bacillati; Chloroflexota; Caldilineae; Caldilineales; Caldilineaceae
Description: partial 16S ribosomal RNA
Rfam family: Bacterial small subunit ribosomal RNA
Source: RNAcentral
UACGUAGGUGGCAAGCGUUAUCCGGAAUUACUGGGCGUAAAGCGCACGCAGGUGGUUUGCUAAGAUUGACGUGAAAGCGCCUGGCUUAACUGGGCGAGGUCGUUGAUGACUGGUAGACUUGAGGCGAGGAGAGGGGUGUAGAAUUCCCGGUGUAGUGGUGGAAUGCGUAGAUAUCGGGAGGAAUACCAGUGGCGAAAGCGGCACCCUGGCCUUGGCCUGACGCUCAGGUGCGAAAGCGUGGGGAGCGAACGGG